GAUGAACGCUGGCGGCGUGCCUAAUACAUGCAAGUCGAGCGAACGGACGAGAAGCUUGCUGCUCUGAUGUUAGCGGCGGACGGGUGAGUAACACGUGGAUAACCUACCUAUAAGACUGGGAUAACUUCGGGAAACCGGAGCUAAUACCGGAUAAUAUUUUGAACCGCAUGGUUCAAAAGUGAAAGACGGUCUUGCUGUCACUUAUAGAUGGAUCCGCGCUGCAUUAGCUAGUUGGUAAGGUAACGGCUUACCAAGGCAACGAUGCAUAGCCGACCUGAGAGGGUGAUCGGCCACACUGGAACUGAGCCACGGUCCAGGCUCCUACGGGACGCAGCAGUAGGGUAUCUUCCGCAAUGGGCGAAAGCCUGACGGAGCAACGCCGCGUGAGUGGUGAAGGUCUUCGGAUCGUAAAACUCUGUUAUUAGGGAAGAACAUAUUUGUAAGUAACUGUGCACAUCUUGACGGUACCUAAUCAGAAAGCCACGGCUAACUACGUG
RNAcentral lists this ribosomal RNA (497 nucleotides) under uncultured bacterium. RNAcentral's name for it is "partial 16S ribosomal RNA". It matches the Rfam family "Bacterial small subunit ribosomal RNA", at positions 28 to 507 of the family's 1533-position model. The record is from RNAcentral.